Molecule: ribosomal RNA, 253 nt
Filed under: uncultured bacterium
Lineage: Bacteria
Description: partial 16S ribosomal RNA
Rfam family: Bacterial small subunit ribosomal RNA
Source: RNAcentral
UACGUAGGGUGCGAGCGUUAAUCGGAAUUACUGGGCGUAAAGUGUGCGCAGGCGGUUUUGUAAGUCAGAUGUGAAAUCCCCGGGCUUAACCUGGGAACUGCGUUUGAAACUACAAGGCUAGAGUGUGGCAGAGGGGGGUGGAAUUCCACGUGUAGCAGUGAAAUGCGUAGAGAUGUGGAGGAACACCGAUGGCGAAGGCAGCCCCCUGGGUUAACACUGACGCUCAGGCACGAAAGCGUGGGGAGCGAACAGG